Molecule: ribosomal RNA, 543 nt
Filed under: uncultured Glomus
Lineage: Eukaryota; Fungi; Glomeromycota; Glomeromycetes; Glomerales; Glomeraceae
Description: SSU rRNA
Rfam family: Eukaryotic small subunit ribosomal RNA
Source: RNAcentral
UUGGAGGGCAAGUCUGGUGCCAGCAGCCGCGGUAAUUCCAGCUCCAAUAGCGUAUAUUAAAGUUGUUGCAGUUAAAAAGCUCGUAGUUGAAUUUCGGGAUCAGUAUGUUGGUCGUGCUUCGGUACGUACUGUCAUUACUGGUUUCUCCCUUCUGAAGAACCACGAUGUCAUUAAUUUGGUGUCGUGGGGAAUCAGGACUGUUACUUUGAAAAAAUUAGAGUGUUUAAAGCAGGCUAAAGCUUGAAUAGAUUAGCAUGGAAUAACGAAAUAGGACGUUUGAUCUUAUUUUGUUGGUUUCUAGGAUUGACGUAAUGAUUAAUAGGGAUAGUUGGGGGCAUUAGUAUUCAAUUGUCAGAGGUGAAAUUCUUGGAUUUAUUGAAGACUAACUACUGCGAAAGCAUUUGCCAAGGAUGUUUUCAUUAAUCAAGAACGAAAGUUAGGGGAUCGAAGACGAUCAGAUACCGUCGUAGUCUUAACCAUAAACUAUGCCGACUAGGGAUCGGAUGAUGUUAAUUUUUUAAUGACUCAUUCGGCGCCUUACGG